Zophobas morio is the source of this 580-nucleotide long non-coding RNA. RefSeq lists it as uncharacterized. NCBI's taxonomy places the organism in Eukaryota, Metazoa, Arthropoda, Insecta, Coleoptera, Tenebrionidae. The record is from RefSeq and is a predicted model, not a curated record. The transcript has 6 exons.
AGGGGGAGUGCCCGUAAACCUUUAUUUACUCAAAAUUACACUCGUGUGUUUUCGGCAUUAUCCUCAUAGCAACCACUAAACGCUCCAAAGGAUAUGCCAUCACCAAUCAAACAUUAAAACUUUCCUUUCCUUUCCUCGCCAGAAAUUAAUUGUCGUGAAUUUGCUCACUUGUUCUACAAUUAAAUGUUCAUCAGCUGGAGCCUUGGUGAUAAAAGAAGUCUGUUGGAUUGUUAGUGGACCAAGCGACAAAGCCUCCGUAUAUUCUACAAGCGGUCUCUCCAUAUCUUUGUAAGAGGACACCUCCCUUUUUCUAUACAACGUUGACACGGUCUAAAAAAAUAACAGCUGGGUGGUUACAGAAUGGUGAGAGGCGACUACUCCAGUAGUUUUUUAACUUGCUUUUGAACGCUUAAACGCAAAUUUCUUCUAUGCCGACUUUCGAUCUGGUUUCAAAAAAAGUUUUAGCACUAUGAAUCAUUCGAAGGAGAUCAAUACGCCGAGAUCUAGUGUUAACUCUUAUGAAAGCUGCGCAACCCUCGCUUGCAGCGGUGCAGCGGCAAAGAAUAAGAAAGUCAUAGAA